This 625-nucleotide long non-coding RNA is filed under the name Salvia miltiorrhiza (redroot sage). Its description in RNAcentral is "long non-coding RNA (SMIL_LNC009124)". The record is from RNAcentral. Lineage: Eukaryota; Viridiplantae; Streptophyta; Magnoliopsida; Lamiales; Lamiaceae.
CACCAUCAGAUAUGAGAACUACCCUAUCUGAUACACAAACAAUUUAUAACUCCAGAUCAGCUUUUGCAUGCCGCGUGUUAGUGUCUUUUUUUUUUUUUUUUUCACGUGUUCAAGAAGUUGGUGGUUCUAAUCUGUGUUAAAAUGUUGGGGGGUUUAAUUAGUCACGCCUUCAUGGUUUUAAAAUGUUUUAAUAAAUGGUUGGGAUCAGAUUUAUAGUGCAUAUAAUGCACUGAAAAAAUUAGGACCCAUUAAAAUUGAUUUAUUAGGCAAUUAAUUAUAAAUGAUUAAUAUGUUAUUUUGUAAAUAUGUAUUAACUAUUAAGUAUUAAUGAGAUUGAAAAUAUAAGAAUAUAUAUAUCAAAAUACUAAACAUUACACUUAUUAUGAACGAACUAAAAUGAUAAAAAGAUCAUAGUUCAGUAUGGAUAGAUCUGCAAAAGGCAAAAAAAAUACAUGCUAUUGCUAUAUUACAGACAAACUUAUCUUCUUACAACAGCUUCAACAAAUGAGUAAAGACUACUAGCAAGUACCGAUUAAAAAAAAAAACCGAAAAAAGGGCAUAUUGACUAAAAGAAACGAGCGAAAAAAUCAGAGAGACACAAAAUUAAUUGUCGAUUUUUUUUAAA